UACGUAGGUGGCGAACGUUGUCCGGAUUCACUGGGCGUAAAGCGCGCGCAGGCGGGUUGGUAAGUCUGAUGUGAAAGCUCCCGGCUCAACUGGGAGAAGCCAUUGGAUACUGCUAGCCUUGAGACACUUAGAGGAGAGUGGAAUUCCCGGUGUAGUGGUGGAAUGCGUAGAUAUCGGGAGGAACACCAGUGGCGAAAGCGGCUCUCUGGGAGUGUUCUGACGCUGAGGCGCGAAAGCGUGGGGAGCAAACCGG
RNAcentral lists this ribosomal RNA (253 nucleotides) under uncultured bacterium. RNAcentral describes it as "partial 16S ribosomal RNA". It matches the Rfam family "Bacterial small subunit ribosomal RNA", at positions 524 to 776 of the family's 1533-position model. The record is from RNAcentral.